Molecule: ribosomal RNA, 777 nt
Filed under: uncultured Paenibacillus sp.
Lineage: Bacteria; Bacillati; Bacillota; Bacilli; Caryophanales; Paenibacillaceae
Description: bacterial SSU rRNA
Rfam family: Bacterial small subunit ribosomal RNA
Source: RNAcentral
CUAAUACAUGCAAGUCGAGCGGACUUGAUGGAGUGCUUGCACUCCUGAAGGUUAGCGGCGGACGGGUGAGUAACACGUAGGCAACCUGCCCUCAAGACUGGGAUAACUACCGGAAACGGUAGCUAAUACCGGAUAAUUUAUUUCGCAGCAUUGUGGAAUAAUGAAAGACGGAGCAAUCUGUCACUUGGGGAUGGGCCUGCGGCGCAUUAGCUAGUUGGUGGGGUAAUGGCUCACCAAGGCGACGAUGCGUAGCCGACCUGAGGGGGUGAACGGCCACACUGGGACUGAGACACGGCCCAGACCCCUACGGGAGGCAGCAGUAGGGAAUCUUCCGCAAUGGGCGAAAGCCUGACGGAGCAACGCCGCGUGAGUGAUGAAGGUUUUCGGAUCGUAAAGCUCUGUUGCCAAGGAAGAACGUCUUCUAGAGUAACUGCUAGGAGAGUGACGGUACUUGAGAAGAAAGCCCCGGCUAACUACGUGCCAGCAGCCGCGGUAAUACGUAGGGGGCAAGCGUUGUCCGGAAUUAUUGGGCGUAAAGCGCGCGCAGGCGGUUCUUUAAGUCUGGUGUUUAAACCCGAGGCUCAACUUCGGGUCGCACUGGAAACUGGGGGACUUGAGUACAGAAGAGGAGAGUGGAAUUCCACGUGUAGCGGUGAAAUGCGUAGAUAUGUGGAGGAACACCAGUGGCGAAGGCGACUCUCUGGGCUGUAACUGACGCUGAGGCGCGAAAGCGUGGGGAGCAAACAGGAUUAGAUACCCUGGUAGUCCACGCCGUAA